Molecule: ribosomal RNA, 442 nt
Filed under: uncultured bacterium
Lineage: Bacteria
Description: partial 16S ribosomal RNA
Rfam family: Bacterial small subunit ribosomal RNA
Source: RNAcentral
CCUACGGGUGGCAGCAGUAGGGAAUCUUUCACAAUGGGCGAAAGCCUGAUGGAGCAACGCCGCCUGCAGGAUGAAGGCCUUCGGGUUGUAAACUGCUUUUAUAAGCGAGAAAUAUGAUGGUAACUUAUGAAUAAGGAUCGGCUAACUACGUGCCAGCAGCCGCGGUCAUACGAAGGAUCCGAGCAUUAUCCGGAGUGACUGGGUGUAAAGAGUUGCGUAGGUGGCAUAAUAAGUAGCUAGUGAAAUCUGGUGGCUCAACCAUUCAGACUAUUAGCUAAACUGUUAAGCUCGAGACCGUUAGGGGUAACUGGAAUUUCUAGUGUAGGAGUGAAAUCCGUAGAUAUUAGAAGGAACACCAAUAGCGUAGGCAGGUUGCUGGGACGGUUCUGACACUAAGGCACGAAAGCGUAGGGAGCAAACGGGAUUAGAUACCCGAGUAGUC